Molecule: ribosomal RNA, 585 nt
Filed under: Triticum aestivum (bread wheat)
Lineage: Eukaryota; Viridiplantae; Streptophyta; Magnoliopsida; Poales; Poaceae
Description: partial small subunit ribosomal RNA
Source: RNAcentral
AUGGGGGAAUAUUUCCACGAUAAUGGAAUGCAUGCAUUAAUUAUAUAUGAUGAUCUAAGUAAACAGGCGGUGGCAUAUCGGCAAAUGUCAUUAUUGUUACACCGACCACCAGCCCAUGAGGCUUUCCCAGGGGAUGUUUUCUAUUUACAUUCCCAUCUCUUAGAAAGAGUCGCUAAAAGAUCGGACCAGAUAGGAGCAGGUAGCUCGACUGCGUUACCCGUGAUUGAAACACAAGCUAGAGACGUAUCGGCCUAUAUCCCCACCAAUGCGAUCUCCAUUACAGAUGGACAAAUCUAUUUGGAAACAGAGCUCUUUUAUCACAGAAUUAGACCAGCUAUUAACGUUGGCUUAUCCGUCAGUCGUGUCGGGUCUGCCGCUCAGUUGAAAGCUAUGAAACAAGUUUGCGGUAGUUCAAAACUGGAAUUGGCACAAUAUCGCGAAGUGGCCGCCUUCGCUCAAUUUGGGUCAGACCUUGAUCCUGUGACUCAGGCAUUACUCAAUAGAGGUGCAAGGCUUACAGAAGUGCCCAAACAACCACAAUAUGAAACACUUCCAAUUGAAAAACAAAUUAAUUUCUCAAUAUGA